GCCUCUGCACUGGGAUUCCUCCAGCCCCAGCAAGUCCCUCAGGUGGUCCCAGCCUCUGUGUCCGCCUCUGCUCUCCCAGAGCGCCUCAGGCAGAGCAGCCAGGAUGGGGACCAGGCCCGCCUUACCGGGAAUGAGCCUGUCACCUGCUCCUCCCACCCCGCAGCAGAUCAUGCAACCAGCAAGGCUCUGGUCCAAGUAGGAACGGAUGGUAAACUGGGCAGUGAUGAUGGUGGAGAUGGUGGUGGUGGUGAUGAUGAUGACAAUGAUAAUGAUGAUGGUGAUGGCAGUGGUGGUAGUGGUGAUGGUGCUGGUGGUGCUGGUGAUAUGAUGAUGGCAGUGAUGGUAGUGAUAAUAGUGAUGAUAAUGUGAUGGUAGUGAUGGUGGUGGCAGUAAUAGUGAUGGUGAUGGUGGCAGAGAGGGUGGUGACAGUGAUGUCAGUGGUAAUGGUGGUGGUGAUGGUAAUGGUGAUGGUGGUGGUGGUGAUGAUGGUGGUGAUAGUGGUAGUGAUGGUGUGGUGGAAAUGAUGGCUGUGAUCGUGAUGAUGAUGGUAGUGAUGGUUACAAUGAUAGUGGUGGUAGUGGUGGUGAUGGCAAUGAUGGUAUUGAUGGUGAUGGUGGUGGUGGUGGUAGUGAUGGUGGUGGUGGUAGAUGGUGGCAGUGAAGACGGUGGUAAUGGUAGAUGGUGGCAGUGAAGAUGGUGGUAAUGAUGGUAAUGGUGAUAGUGGUGCUGGUGGUGAUGGUGAUGGUGGUGGUGGUGGUAGUGAUGGUGAUGAUGAUGGUGAUAGUGAUGGUGGUGGUGGUGGUGGUGCUGUUAGUGGUGGUGGUGGUGUUGCUGGUGGUGUUGGUGAUGGUGGUGGUGGUGGUGGUGAUGGUCAUGGUGGUGGUGGUGGUGGUGGUGGUGAUGGUGGUGGUGGUGGUGGUCAUGGUGAUGGUGGUGAUAGAGCCAAGAGGCUCUUGGGACCAUAUGGCUGGGACUGAAGGCAGUGUAGACACAGCUGACCCUUCAUGAGGGCUCUGCCUGGCUCUAGUAGCUUCUAUCCUGAAAGCCUGGUGAGUGUCUGAAGGAUGGUCCCCUUGUUAAGUGAGGGCAGGCUUGUGGAUUUCAGGGGCCCCAGAGGCCUGGGAGGACAUUUAGUGGGGGCGGGGUCCUCACCAAAGACUCAAUGGGCUCUGGAGUUCCUGUGUCUCCUGAGACCUGCGCCUGACGUCACCCUCUGGAUGGCCUCUGGCCUCUACCUGGGCUGGGGUGUCCCAGGAACAGAGAAGGACCCAACUAUUGUUGGGGACCCCAGCACUCUCUGUCCAACCGAGCCUGGGGCCUGGGUGGCAAAUGUGGGCAUUGCGAGAGUGGCAGGACUGGGAGGAGGCCCAAGCCCUGGGUAGGGCCUGGGGGGUGCCAGGUCCACACCUCCGAGGUGGUGAGUGGUGCAGACAGCUGGUGCCUGUGGGUCCCUAACAAAUGCAGCUGAGAAGUGGGCCCUCAGAUGUCCACGUGGCAUAACCCUGCUGUGACUGAAGCCGCCAGCCUGGAUUGAACAUUCUUCAAGAUUUCUGCCUUCAUUUAACAAGCUCCACUAGACGUGGCCUCUGGAGCACAGGUCUCUCCCAAACAUCACCAAAAUGACCGAAGAGGAAGAGGGAGGUGCCGUUUGCAGGAAAGAGAGAACGGGAGUGGAGCAGCAGCCACCAGUGAGGGAAGAGGUGGCAAAGUGCUCCAUGGCUGGGGUGCCUAUCUUGGCAGAGUGGAGCAGAUGAAAGGCCCAUCUGCCGACAAGACCACUGCCACCCUCUGCCACCCUCCACCACCCUCCGCCAGGUCACCAGAAUGCCAGGCCUCACUCAUGAUCAGCUGAGCACCAGCAGGCAGGUGAGAAGAGCCUCCAGUGUGGAGCAGGUCAACCAGCAACAGAGCCAGGGAGACCCAUGGAGUCCAGAGAAAACGGUAACAACGGCAGCAGCACCCAGAGACUGGCUCCCAGUGAGUUAAGCCCAGCCGCGACCCUUGGAUGUGCCAGCUGAUUUAAUACUCAUGAUAAACCCAGUAGGUCAGUGCCAGUAUUAUGAGAGAAGUGAGGCACAGAAUGUCACAUCCACCUCCCCAAAGUCAACAGCUAGGAGUGACAGAGCCAGGAUUCUGCCAGGCAGGUUGGCCUCAGAGGCCACACUUCUUAUCCCAAUAAUAAAAGUGAACAAGAACAGGAUGAAGUUAGAGUGAGAGAGCGAGAGUGGUAACACUCAUGCAAUCAGAGAACAAGAGAAAGCUCAAUGGAAACAUGUAUUCACUGACAGGAUUAAAACACAAAACAACAAAAAGAGAGACGGCCAGGCGCGGUGGCUCACGCCUGUAAUCCCAGCACUUUGGGAGGCCAAGGCAGGCAGAUCCCCUGAGCUCAGGAGUUUGAGACCAGCCUGGGCAACAUGGUGAAACCCUGACUCUACUAAAAAUACAAAAAUUAGCUGGGCAUGGUGGGGCAUGCUUGUACUCGGGAGGCUGAGGUGGGAGGAUCACUUGAACCCGGGAGGCAGAGGUUGCAGUGAGUCCAGAUCGCACCACUGCACUCUAGCCUAGGUGAUAGAGUGAGAUCCUAUCUAAAAAAAAAAAAAAAAAAAAAUAGAAGGCAGGAAGGAAAUAUCAGAAAAAUGCAGAAUUGAUCCAGGAGGUCCAAGUUCCAAAAGGAGUCAGAAAGAGAAAGGAGAGAAAAAGGUGGGGGAUCAAUGAUCAAAGAACUAAACUGAGACCAGCGCCCAGAAUGACAAGGCACAGGCCAGACAGCAAGGCUCACCCAAGUCCAGCACAAUGCAAGUGACACGUGUGCAUCACUGUGGAAUUGUAGACCACUGGUGCCAAGGAGUGCCCCAAAAAACUUCCAGAGGGGGAAAAAAUAGUCACAUAUGUCUCUCUCUCUCUUUUUUUUUUAAGGAUAAAGGGAAUUCUUUUUUUUUUUUUUGAGUCAGGGUCUUGCUGUGUUGCCCAGGCUGCAGUGCAGUGGUGUCAUCAUAGCUCACUGCAGCCUCUAACUCCUGGGCUCAAGCGAUCCUCCAACCUCAGCCUCCUGGGUAGCUGGGACUACAAGCAAGCACCACCAUGCCCAGUUAAUUUUUUAAUUUUUUUUGUAUGGAUGGGGGUCUCACUAUGUUGCCCAGGCUGCAGCAGGUUGGUCUCAAACUCCCGGACCCAAGUGAUACUCCCACCUGGGCCUCCAAAAGAGCUGGGAAUACAGGCCUGAGCCAUCAUGCCCAGCCACAUACUGUCUCAUAAAAAGGCAAAGCAACCCCCAAAUGCAGAAGGAGCUGAGAAACCAAAGGAGGAGGCAGACAAAUUCAGCUUGUUGUUAAAGUGUGUUUUAUGGGGGAUCUUAUGAACAGAAGAGUGGUCUUGGACAGCCACAAGACAUAUAGAUCUCCACACCAUAAUUCCCCAGACCCAGAGGUUAUAUACCAUAGGGAAAGGGUACAUGUGCUUCAGAGGGAAUGGGGAGGAAUUUGAUCUAAAGGCAGGACUUACAGUAUAUGCUCUUAUGCAAGAAACAACAGAUAAACUGAAAAUCUCAGAGGCAUUCCUGGAACCAGUGUUAGUCAGAAGUCAGCAUGGUGGAUUAGCUUCCAUGGUAUGUUACUUUAGCCUCCACACAUACCAAGGAUUAGUAGUAAAGAUGGAACUGGACUUCCAGUAACCACACAGAAGCUCAAAGACAGAGUACCUUACAGAUGCUGAGGAAAAGAGACUCCCAACAGCAAAUUCUAUACCCAGCCAAACUAUCUGUCUAGUGUGAGGAAAUACUAAUGACACUGUUAGAUUUGUUAAAUCUCAAAACACUUAUCUCCCAUGCAUCUCUUCUGAAGAAGUAUCUGAAGGAUGCUCCCCUACAAGGAGAAGUCAACCAAGAAAGAGAAGGGGGUGCCAACACAGGUGAGGCAGGAGGGGCCAGCAGGCCUGGAGAGCAGCCAGUCCAGCUGUGGCAGGAAACUGGUUGGCUCCUGCUGAAAGGUAUCCAGGGAAAAUGGCCUUCCUAGAUUACACAAUGCAAGUUUCUGUGUGGAAGCCAUGUCACGAGAGAUUUCUAAAAUGAUUAGAGCAUUUAGGAAGAAUUUGUUGUUGACACAUAGAAAACCAAACAAAGGAAAACCAGGAGGCAAUUUUUAACUCCAGGAAAAACAAAGAAGUUGCUCAGGAAAGAGCAUUUAAUUAUAGUAUAUAACGUUGUUCAGGCAAGAACAAUUCUUAUGUAGUCAUGAUAAUUUAAAUAUGGAAUAUUUUUAAGCUAAAAGUAUUGUGGGGUUUUGUUGUUGUUGUUGUUUUGUUGUUGAGACGGAGUCUCACUCUGUCGCCCAGGCUGGAGUGCAGUGGUGUGAUCUCAGCUCACUGCAAGCUCCACCUCCUGGGUUCACGCCAUUCUCCUGCCUCAGCCUCCUGAGUAGCUGGGACUACAGGCGCAAGCCACCACGCCCGGCUAAUUUUUUGUAUUUUUAGUAGAGACGGGGUUUCACCAUUUUAGCCAGGAUGGUCUCGAUCUCCUGACCUCGUGAUCUGCCCGCCUCAGCCUUUUUUGUUGUUGUUGUUGUUUUUUGGAGACAAGGUCUCACUCUGUCACCCAGGCUGGAGUGCAGUGGUGUGAUCACAGCUCACUGCAUCCUAGACCUCCCAGGCUCAGGCAAUCCUCCCACCUCAGCCUCAUUUGUAGCUGGGACUACAGGUGCAUGCCACCAUGCCCAGCUAAUUUUUUGUAGUUUUGGUAGAAAUGGGGUUUCAUCACAUGGCCCAGGCUAGUCUUAAACUCCUGGGCUCCAGCAAUCUGCUUGCCUUGGCCUCCCAAAGUGCUGGGAUUACAGGCAUGAGCUGCUGCACCCGGCCUAAACUAAAAAUGUUCACAUAGUAUAUAGGGAGGAUGUGGGGCGGGGAAGAGCAAAUGUGUAAUGGAGUGAAAUCCUAAACAAUGCCUAAAAUUAAUAAAUCAAGAAAUAGUAAUAUAAACAUUUUAUUUAGAGAUUUGGAGGUGUACUAGUCUGUUCUCGCACUGUAAUAAAUUACCAAGACUGGGUAAUUUAUAAAGAAAAAGAGGUUUAAUGGACUCACAGUUCCACAUGGCUGGGGAGGCCUCAUAAUCAUGGCGGAAAGUGAAGGAGGAGCAAAGGCGCGUCUUACAUGGUGGCAGGCAAGAGAGCGUGUGCAGGAGAACCGCCUUUUAUAAAACCAUCAGAUCUUGAGAGACUUAUUCACUAUCACGAGAACAGCACAGGAAAAACUCACCCCCAUGAUUCAAUUACCUCCCACUGGGUCCCUCCCAUGACACAUGGGGAUUAUGGGAGCUGCAAUUCAAGAUGAAUUAGGGUGGGGACACAGCCGAAACAUAUCAGGAGGUUCCUGGAAGAAACAGAGUUGAAAGCAGUUAUCUUGCUGAGUGGGGGACUCAGGGCAUGGGCAGGAGACUGCUGAGUUUUGUUUUACGUCUUACUACAUUUGAUUUAUAAAAGACAGAUGUGCAUAUAUCACUUCAAAAAAACAAAAGUGGAUGUGGCUGAUGCCAAAGUGACCUGCCCCAGAAGAGCUGCUAACAGAACAGCAUCCCAGGAGGCUGCAGAAGGCUGAAGAGCAGAGCCCACACCUGCUAUGGGCCACAAGAGGCCCUGGAUGCCAUGGAGGCCGCAAGGGCCCAGGCGGGACUUGCAGAAUGAGAGUCCUAGGCCCAAGUAUAGAGUCCCUGGUGGGCACAGAGGAGAGACCAGGUCAGUGGGAGGGGUUGUCAGACCCUGUGGAGUGCCCCACCUGUGUGCCAGGCCCAGAACUGGGCUCAACUCUGAUGGUAGCAGGUGGAAAGUAGACUUCACUACUGUGGGAGUGGGGGCAUUCCUGGACACAGGGGGAAACCAGCUCACAGAACAGCCUGGGGUCUUCUUGGAGGAGGCCAUUUUGGCCCAGAUCCUAAAGGAAGACUGGAAGCCUCAGGGGGCAGUGAGAACAGGGACAAGAGAGGGCAGGUCUCAGGACUGACUGAGCAACUCAGACUGACCUGGAUCAAACUGUGGAGCCGGCGAAGGGUUUAGAGGGUUGCUGCAGGACAGUGGUGUCUGCAAAGACGCCUCUGGCUGCUGUCUGGAAAAUAGACAGGGGAGGCUGGGCAGGGGUCUGGGCAGGGGCUGGACAGGGGUGCUGGGCAGGGGCUGGACAGGGGUGCUGGGCAGGGGCUGGACAGGGGUGCUGGGCAGGGGCUGGACAGGGGUGCUGGGCAGGGUCAGUCCAUCUCCAUCCUGCUUUCCUUUUCUUUCUUUUCAACAAAUAUUGAUGGAGCACCUCCUCGGUGCCAGGCGCUGCUGCAGCCUCUAGGAAAUCAACCGUGGAAACACACGGACCCUGCCCUCCCGGCGCCAGUGUUCUGGUGGUCAGGAGGUGAAGAAAACCAGCAAGAACCAGCACAGGAAUCCGACGGUGGCAGCGCCGAGAGAAACAAGCUUGGAGGGGAAGGAGAGCUACAGAGGCUGCAUGGAUGUGAUGGUUGGAGUGGAAGCUGACAUUGUGGGCCAGGAGACCCUGGGAGUACAGGCCAAGAUGAAAAGAGCCUCAAUCCAGAGCGUUCUGUGAAGCAGUCACCACGGCCACCCUGGGCCAUCAGCUUCUGGACUUUUACAACAUAGAAAUUAAAUUUCCAUUGAAUUUGUUGGAGUCAUUGUUCCUUCAGCUCUCUGUUACCUGCACUUACAUCUCUCUGUGAGUCGCGGAGUCUUGCAGUUAAGGUAUUAAUAUUAUUGCGUCUCAAGGUGCCUCAGGUCAGAGGUUCCAAAGGUGAAUGAGGGCACAGCUCUCCGUCUGAGACUCACGGUGGAGAAGCCUCCUCACCUUGCUCCUUCUCCCUGUCACCAAGAAAGGAGGUCUGGGGGAAGGAAGGGGUCCGUGUGGCCCUCCCGCCCCCACACUGUCCCUCUUGGAUUCUGCUAGCCUGUGGGUGUGGGCAGCAGCUCAGCCUGGCCCUGGAAUUUUCCAUAAAG
This 6980-nucleotide long non-coding RNA is filed under the name Homo sapiens (human). RNAcentral's name for it is "non-protein coding MAFA-AS1:8". The record is from RNAcentral. Lineage: Eukaryota; Metazoa; Chordata; Mammalia; Primates; Hominidae.